This 299-nucleotide long non-coding RNA is filed under the name Vigna radiata. Its description in RNAcentral is "long non-coding RNA (VRAD_LNC004627)". The record is from RNAcentral. Lineage: Eukaryota; Viridiplantae; Streptophyta; Magnoliopsida; Fabales; Fabaceae.
GGAGGUGGAGAGGGAGCUAAUCAAUAAUAUCUAGGGCCACCACUUCAUCAUGUGUUAUUGUCGACUUGUGCCACGAGGUCAGUCUCCUAAGGCACUAGGUCUAGUACAAUGAAAAUUUAGGCUAAUCGUCUGCAUAAAAAAUCUUUGUCAACCGACCUUUGUUAUCCCUACCUUGAAGUAUUCGAUUUUAAACCCUUUAAAGGAAGUGACAUACAAAGAGAACAACCACCUCCUCUUCUCGGAUAUUAACAAUACCCAACUUCUCUCAGCAUUCAGGCGGGUACGAAAGUAAUGAAAAA